AUACUGCAAGUCGAGCGGACUUUUAAAGCUUGCUUUUGAAAGGUCAGCGGCGGACGGGUGAGUAACACGUGGGCAACCUGCCUGUAAGACUGGGAUAACUUCGGGAAACCGGAGCUAAUACCGGAUAAUAUAAAGAACCUCCUGGUUCUUUAUUGAAAGAUGGUUUCGGCUAUCACUUACAGAUGGGCCCGCGGCGCAUUAGCUAGUUGGUGAGGUAAUGGCUCACCAAGGCGACGAUGCGUAGCCGACCUGAGAGGGUGAUCGGCCACACUGGGACUGAGACACGGCCCAGACUCCUACGGGAGGCAGCAGUAGGGAAUCUUCCACAAUGGACGAAAGUCUGAUGGAGCAACGCCGCGUGAGCGAUGAAGGCCUUCGGGUCGUAAAGCUCUGUUGUUAGGGAAGAACAAGUGCGAGAGUAACUGCUCGCACCUUGACGGUACCUAACCAGAAAGCCACGGCUAACUACGUGCCAGCAGCCGCGGUAAUACGUAGGUGGCAAGCGUUGUCCGGAAUUAUUGGGCGUAAAGCGCGCGCAGGUGGUCCUUUAAGUCUGAUGUGAAAGCCCACGGCUCAACCGUGGAGGGUCAUUGGAAA
RNAcentral lists this ribosomal RNA (597 nucleotides) under Bacillus sp. CH143_4T. RNAcentral describes it as "bacterial SSU rRNA". It matches the Rfam family "Bacterial small subunit ribosomal RNA", at positions 51 to 632 of the family's 1533-position model. The record is from RNAcentral. Lineage: Bacteria; Bacillati; Bacillota; Bacilli; Caryophanales; Bacillaceae.